AUGACGUCUGCUUACGAUGCAAAUCCAGUUAUGGCCACACGAGCUACUCUCCUAGUUGUGGUUAGCAUGCACACGUGCCUCGCUCAGUUUCUCUUCAAACUCGUGUUCCUUGAUUCCGUAAACCAAAGGUGCGGGGAUGAACCAAGUGCACACCUGACACAGAUGCAUCAGUGGACAUGGAAGAAGCUGAUGAGAGUAAUGUCGGGCCGUCGCUCAAUGAGUCGCCAUGGGUUGCAUGUGGCCCAGUGGCCGCUGAGUGUGUGCGUUGUACUUAAGCUGUCAGCCACACAGAGAAGGCAAUAA
RNAcentral lists this ribosomal RNA (303 nucleotides) under Triticum aestivum (bread wheat). RNAcentral describes it as "partial small subunit ribosomal RNA". Lineage: Eukaryota; Viridiplantae; Streptophyta; Magnoliopsida; Poales; Poaceae. The record is from RNAcentral.